Molecule: ribosomal RNA, 254 nt
Filed under: uncultured bacterium
Lineage: Bacteria
Description: partial 16S ribosomal RNA
Rfam family: Bacterial small subunit ribosomal RNA
Source: RNAcentral
UACGUAGGGGGCUAGCGUUGUCCGGAAUCAUUGGGCGUAAAGAGCGUGUAGGCGGCCCGGUAAGUCCGCUGUGAAAGUCGGGGGCUCAACCCUCGGAUGCCGGUGGAUACUGUCGGGCUCGAGUACGGAAGAGGCGAGUGGAAUUCCUGGUGUAGCGGUGAAAUGCGUAGAUAUCUGGAGGAACACCGGUGGCGAAGGCGGCAUCCUGGACCGGUAUUGACGCUGAGUGAGCGAAAGCCAGGGGAGCAAACGGG